CAGCUCUUCAAGUGGUCGGGAUAAUUAUUGGGCUUAAAGUGUCCGUAGCCGGUUUAGUAAGUUCCUGGUAAAAUCGGGUAGCUUAACUAUCUGUAUGCUAGGAAUACUGCUAUACUAGAGGGCGGGAGAGGUCUGAGGUACUACAGGGGUAGGGGUGAAAUCUUAUAAUCCUUGUAGGACCACCAGUGGCGAAGGCGUCAGACUGGAACGCGCCUGACGGUGAGGGACGAAAGCCAGGGGAGCGAACCGGAUUAGAUACCCGAGUAGUCC
This 270-nucleotide ribosomal RNA is filed under the name uncultured archaeon. RNAcentral describes it as "partial 16S ribosomal RNA". It matches the Rfam family "Archaeal small subunit ribosomal RNA", at positions 477 to 747 of the family's 1478-position model. The record is from RNAcentral.